GAUGAAGAACGUAGCGAAAUGCGAUAAGUAGUGUGAAUUGCAGAAUUCAGUGAAUCAUCGAAUCUUUGAACGCACAUUGCGCCCCUUGGUAUCCCGAGGGGCAUGCCUGUUCGAGCGUCAUUUCACCACUCAAGCCUGGCUUGGUGUUGGGCGACGUCCCCUUUGGGGACGCGCCUCGAAACGCUCGGCGGCGUGGCACCGGCUUUAAGCGUAGCAGAAUCUUUCGCUUUGGAAGUCGGGGCCCCGUCUGCCGGAAGACCUACUCGCAAGGUUGACCUCGGAUCGGGCAGGGAUACCCGCUGAACUUAAGCAUAUCAAUAAGCGGAGGA
RNAcentral lists this unclassified non-coding RNA (329 nucleotides) under soil metagenome. RNAcentral describes it as "partial contains 5.8S ribosomal RNA, internal transcribed spacer 2, and large subunit ribosomal RNA". The stretch from base 1 to 120 matches the Rfam family "5.8S ribosomal RNA", at positions 35 to 154 of the family's 154-position model. The record is from RNAcentral.